This 796-nucleotide ribosomal RNA is filed under the name uncultured Funneliformis. Its description in RNAcentral is "SSU rRNA". It matches the Rfam family "Eukaryotic small subunit ribosomal RNA", at positions 314 to 1108 of the family's 1831-position model. Lineage: Eukaryota; Fungi; Glomeromycota; Glomeromycetes; Glomerales; Glomeraceae. The record is from RNAcentral.
AUCAACUUUCGAUGGUAGGAUAGAGGCCUACCAUGGUGGUAACGGGUAACGGGGUGUUAGGGCACGACACCGGAGAGGGAGCCUGAGAAACGGCUACCACAUCCAAGGAAGGCAGCAGGCGCGCAAAUUAUCCAAUCCCGACACGGGGAGGUAGUGACAAUAAAUAACAAUACAGGGUUCUUUUGGAUCUUGUAAUUGGAAUGAGUACAAUUUAAAUCUCUUAACGAGGAACAAUUGGAGGGCAAGUCUGGUGCCAGCAGCCGCGGUAAUUCCAGCUCCAAUAGCGUAUAUUAAAGUUGUUGCAGUUAAAAAGCUCGUAGUUGAAUUUCGGGAUCAAUGUUUCGGUCAUGCCCUUGGUAUGUACUGAUAUUAUUGGUUUCUCACCUUCUAAAGAACCGUAAUGCCAUUAAUUUGGUGUCACGGGGAAUUAGGACUGUUACCUUGAAAAAAUUAGAGUGUUUAAAGCAGGCUCACGCUUGAAUACAUUAGCAUGGAAUAAUGAAAUAGGACAUCCGAUUCUAUUUUGUUGGUUUCUAGGAUCGAUGUAAUGAUUAAUAGGGAUAGUUGGGGGCAUUAGUAUUCAAUUGUCAGAGGGUGAAAUUCUUUGGAUUUAUUGAAGACUAACUACUGCGAAAGCAUUUGCCAAAGGAUGUUUUUCAUUAAUCAAGAACGAAAGUUAGGGGAUCGAAGACGAUCAGAUACCGUCGUANUCUUAACCAUAACUAUGCCGACUAGGGAUCGGAUGAUGUUAAUUUUUAAUGACUCAUUCGACGCCUUACGGGAAACAAAAAUGUUU